This 233-nucleotide long non-coding RNA is filed under the name Mytilus galloprovincialis (Mediterranean mussel). Lineage: Eukaryota; Metazoa; Mollusca; Bivalvia; Mytilida; Mytilidae. The record is from RNAcentral.
GUCGGUCCAACGUCAGGAGCCUGUAGUACAUUGGUUAUAUAGAUCUGUCAUUUUUUCUUCUUCUUUAAUACAUAAUUCAUAAGUUAUAAAAAUAUUACCGUUAGUUUUAUCGUUUUAAUUUUUUCUUUAUAUCGGGGCCUUUUUUAGCCGACUUUAUGGUAUAGGUUUUCCUCAUUGUUAAAUGUUGUACAUUGGACUAUAAUAAUUGCUUUAUACACCCACUUCAAUUAAAC